GUACUCACGUUGGUGGUACAGACACUAAAAUUGGAACGAUACAGAGAAGAUUGGCAUGGCUCCUGCACAAGGAUGACAUGCAAAAUUGUGAAACAUUCCACAUUUUU
This is a small nuclear RNA of Schistocerca gregaria, 107 nucleotides long. The record is from RefSeq and is a predicted model, not a curated record. Lineage: Eukaryota; Metazoa; Arthropoda; Insecta; Orthoptera; Acrididae.